AGAGUUUGAUCCUGGCUCAGGAUGAACGCUAGCGACAGGCUUAACACAUGCAAGUCGAGGGGCAGCGUGGAGGUGGCAACACCACCCGACGGCGACCGGCGCACUGGUGAGUAACACGUAUGCAACCUGCCCCCUACAGGGGAAUAACCCAGAGAAAUUUGGCCUAAUGCCCCGUAGUCCGCGGCGCGGCAUCGCGCUGCGGGGAAAGACGAGUCGGUAGGGGAUGGGCAUGCGGCGCAUUAGCUGGUUGGCGGGGCAACGGCCCACCAAGGCUACGAUGCGUAGGGGUUCUGAGAGGAAGGUCCCCCACACUGGUACUGAGACACGGACCAGACUCCUACGGGAGGCAGCAGUGAGGAAUAUUGGUCAAUGGGCGGGAGCCUGAACCAGCCAAGUCGCGUGCGGGAGGACGGCCCUACGGGUUGUAAACCGCUUUAGCCGGGGAGUAACGUGCGGCACGCGUGCCGCAGUGAGAGUACCCGGAGAAUAAGCAUCGGCUAACUCCGUGCC
This 510-nucleotide ribosomal RNA is filed under the name uncultured bacterium. RNAcentral describes it as "bacterial SSU rRNA". It matches the Rfam family "Bacterial small subunit ribosomal RNA", at positions 8 to 509 of the family's 1533-position model. The record is from RNAcentral.